Molecule: ribosomal RNA, 429 nt
Filed under: uncultured bacterium
Lineage: Bacteria
Description: bacterial SSU rRNA
Rfam family: Bacterial small subunit ribosomal RNA
Source: RNAcentral
UGGGGAAUAUUGGACAAUGGGGGCAACCCUGAUCCAGCGACGCCGCGUGGGUGAAGAAGGCCUGCGGGUUGUAAAGCCCUUUCGGUUGGGAAGAAAAGCUGCGACCUAACACGUCGCGGCCUUGACGUAACCAACUAAAGAAGCACCGGCUAACUCUGUGCCAGCAGCCGCGGUAAUACAGAGGGUGCGAGCGUUAAUCGGAAUUACUGGGCGUAAAGCGCGCGUAGGCGGCUUUGUAAGUCGGUUGUGAAAUCCCCGGGCUUAACCUGGGAACUGCAUCCGAGACUGCAUAGCUAGAGUAUGGGAGAGGGAAGUGGAAUUUCAGGUGUAGCGGUGAAAUGCGUAGAUAUCUGAAGGAACAUCAGUGGCGAAAGCGACUUCCUGGACCAAUACUGACGCUCAUGUGCGAAAGCGUGGGGAGCAAACAGG